CACGUAGGGAGCAAGCGUUGUCCGGAUUUAUUGGGCGUAAAGAGCUCGUAGGUGGUUCGGUAAGUCAGGUGUGAAACCUCCAGGCUCAACCUGGAGACGCCACUUGAUACUGCUGUGACUGGAGUCCGGUAGGGGAGCGUGGAAUUCCUGGUGUAGCGGUGAAAUGCGCAGAUAUCAGGAGGAACACCGGUGGCGAAGGCGGAUCUCUGGGCCUUACCUGACGCUCAGGCGCGAAAGCUAGGGGAGCGAACUGG
This 254-nucleotide ribosomal RNA is filed under the name uncultured bacterium. RNAcentral describes it as "partial 16S ribosomal RNA". It matches the Rfam family "Bacterial small subunit ribosomal RNA", at positions 524 to 776 of the family's 1533-position model. The record is from RNAcentral.